GUUCAAUCACAGCAAAAAGUGAAGUGAAGUGAAGUCGCUCAGUCGUGUCUUUGCGACCCCAUGGACUGUAGCCUACCAGGCUCCUCCCUCCAUGUGAUUCUCCAGGCAAGAGUACUGGAGUGGGUUGCCAUUUCCUUCUCCAGGGGAUCUUCCCGACCCAGGGAUCGAACCUGGGUCUCCGCAUUUCAGGCAGACGCUUUAACCUCUGAGCCACCAGGGAAGCCCAAUCCCAGCAAAGGAUGUAAUCAACUGUGCCCACUACGAAGCCUGGAUUAAAAACUCUUGAAAACAGUGAGGUUCAGGGAGGUUCCAAAUUUGUGAACACAUUCAUGGGCUGAGAGGGUGGCACACCCAGAGGUGGCACAGACUCUCUGUGCCCCCAACUUCCUACUUACCCUAUAGAGUUGUAACAUUCAUAAUACAUUUGUCUUAUCCUGAGUUGUAUCAUUUAUAAUUAAGCGGUGCCGUCAACCCUCUAUAACCACAGGUUUCAAAUCAGGAGAUUCGAGUAGCUGCUAAUUGAAGGUCAGUGGCUGAUUGAAUCUGCAGAUGCGAAACCAGCGCACAUUUGGAAGAUUUACUGUAAUCACAGGCCUGGCGCCAUUUUACAUCUGGGGCCUGCUCAUUGGUGAAUUUUGGUACCUGUUGCUGCUGCUGCUAAGUUGCUUCAGUCGUGUCCGACUCUGUGCGACCCCAUAGACGGCAGCCCACCAGGCUUCCCUGUCCCUGGGAUUCUCCAGGCAAGAACAUUGGAGUGGGUUGCCAUUUCCUUCUCCAUUGUGUGAAAGUAAAAAGUGAAAGUGAAGUCGCUCAGUCCUGUCCGACUCUUCGCGACCCCAUGGACUGAGGGGUCUCCCAAAAUCAGUCCCCUGAGGAUGCUGAGGAACGACUAUAAUUAUCUUUGCUGUGAACAUUCUUCUGCAUGGCUUCUGGUGCACAAGUGCAAGAGUUUCUCAGGAUUUAUCUGGGAGUAGAAUUCCUGGGUAUGCACACUCAGGUGACGAAACUACGUUGGAGAAGUUAAGUAAUUUGCCCAAGGUGACGCAGCUGGUAAGUCGUAUCUCAGAUAUUUGGACCUAGGCAGUUCAACUCUGGGGUCCACGCUCUUAACAUCUGCACAGCACUGCACCCUGGAAGGACAGAUGUUCCACUUUCUUCCCCUUUUACCCACAGAAUCUAAAGGAAUUAGACAAACAGAGAAGGGAGACUCCUGGUCCACACAGAUGAGUGACCACGCUGGCUCCGAGACCACUGUCAGGAGGUGGAGAAAACACCAACAGGCAUUUGAUUUGCUCUCAGGAACCAGGAGCACAUGGGUAGUCAAGAUUUGAAAAGGAGAGUGAAACAGUGUUCUGCAGAAACUUCUAAAGCUGUCAGGGAUCAGAAACUCUUCAAUUCCAACCUCAUACUGAAAUUUAACAUCCUUCAUUAAAUAUGUGGAAUUUUAAAUAAAUGUUACCUAUAUUCACACCAUACUUUCUCUGAUAGAAUGUUUGUAUCAUUUACUUAUCCUUUCAACUUUUAAUGCGGCCACGGAUUUUUAAGAGCUAAUCAGAAUUCCCUAAUAUGGUGAUUUUAAUAAGUAUUUUUCUUUCAUUUAAACACUAAAUGUUUUGGUCCAGAAUUCUGAUAAACUGCUUAUUAUUUCUGAAAAACUUAGGUUGCCCAUCUUGAUAAAAUGUGAUGGCAUAAAGAAAGACAGGAUCUUAUUUAUGCCAAAUGAAUUGAU
Molecule: long non-coding RNA, 1729 nt
Organism: Bos taurus (domestic cattle)
Lineage: Eukaryota; Metazoa; Chordata; Mammalia; Artiodactyla; Bovidae
Source: Ensembl